This 212-nucleotide long non-coding RNA is filed under the name Mytilus galloprovincialis (Mediterranean mussel). The record is from RNAcentral. Lineage: Eukaryota; Metazoa; Mollusca; Bivalvia; Mytilida; Mytilidae.
UUUCAUAGUUUUUUAAACAAAAAAGGUGCUAAUGUUAAGUGAAAGAAAAAUCUUGAGAGAUUUAUUUCCCGCCAAAUUUUCAACGGCUUAUAUCUCGUAAACAAGCACACGGACCCUCCAUUUUUUUCUGCUUUUUUAUUUUCUUUAUUUAUAUACUUUUAAUUUAUAACAGUCUUUUAAAAAGCUUGUUAUUUUUAAACAGAGUAGCGAAC